RNAcentral lists this non-coding RNA (23 nucleotides) under Cricetulus griseus (Chinese hamster). Lineage: Eukaryota; Metazoa; Chordata; Mammalia; Rodentia; Cricetidae. The record is from RNAcentral.
CGCCCGAGAGCUCCAGAGCCGGC